This 238-nucleotide non-coding RNA is filed under the name Streptomyces cyaneogriseus subsp. noncyanogenus. Its description in RNAcentral is "Streptomyces sRNA 4677". It matches the Rfam family "Streptomyces sRNA 4677". From Rfam's summary of the family: Located in the intergenic region between anti-sigma factor SCO4677 gene and a putative regulatory protein gene SCO4676. scr4677 expression requires the SCO4677 activity and scr4677 sRNA itself seem to affect the levels of the SCO4676-associated transcripts. The record is from Rfam by way of RNAcentral. Lineage: Bacteria; Bacillati; Actinomycetota; Actinomycetes; Kitasatosporales; Streptomycetaceae.
CGGGCCGGGGCCGCGGGCGGUAAAAGACCAAAGAACCUGGGGAAAAAACCCGCCCAACCAACCAAACCUCGUGUGUGUCACCCGGGUGGGUGAAACCGGUCGGUGCGGCUGGCGCGUCGGUGGCCCGGACGUGCAGUCUCGCCCCAAGGCACCACCACAACCCCACACAUGCAUCGGCCCCCGCCGGGACUGCCAUCCCGAGCGAGGGCCUGACCAACGAGGAAGCGAGCCCUUCCCC